UAGGGAAUCCUCCACAAUGGACGCAAGUCUGAUGGAGCAACGCCGCGUGAGUGAAGAAGGUUUUCGGACCGUAAAGCUCUGUUGUUGGUGAAGAAGGAUAGAGGUAGUAACUGGCCUUUAUUUGACGGUAAUCAACCAGAAAGUCACGGCUAACUACGUGCCAGCAGCCGCGGUAAUACGUAGGUGGCAAGCGUUGUCCGGAUUUAUUGGGCGUAAAGCGAGCGCAGGCGGAAGAAUAAGUCUGAUGUGAAAGCCCUCGGCUUAACCGAGGAAUUGCAUCGGAAACUGUUUUCUUGAGUGCAGAAGAGGAGAGUAGAACUCCAUGUGUAGCGGUGGAAUGCGUAGAUAUAUGGAAGAAUACCAGUGGCGAAGGCGGCUCUCUGGUCUGCAACUGACGCUGAGGCUCGAAAGCAUGGGUAGCGAACAGGAUUAGAUACCCUGGUAGUCCAUGCCGUAAACGAUGAGUGCUAAGUGUUGGGAGGCUUCCGCCUCUCAGUGCUGCAGCUAACGCAUUAAGCACUCCGCCUGGGGGAGUACGACCGCAAGGUUG
This 550-nucleotide ribosomal RNA is filed under the name uncultured bacterium. RNAcentral's name for it is "partial 16S ribosomal RNA". It matches the Rfam family "Bacterial small subunit ribosomal RNA", at positions 355 to 896 of the family's 1533-position model. The record is from RNAcentral.